GCAGCCGCGGUAAUACGUAGGAUGCAAGCGUUAUCCGGAAUGACUGGGCGUAAAGGGUGCGUAGGCGGUUUAGCAAGUUGGUAGCGUAAUUCCGGGGCUUAACUCCGGGACUACUACCAAAACUGCUGGGCUUGAGUGCGGCAGGGGUAUGUGGAAUUCCUAGUGUAGCGGUGGAAUGCGUAGAUAUUAGGAGGAACACCAGAGGCGAAGGCGACAUACUGGGCCGUAACUGACGCUGAGGCACGAAAGCGUGGGGAGCAAACAGGAUUAGAUACCCC
Molecule: ribosomal RNA, 278 nt
Filed under: uncultured bacterium
Lineage: Bacteria
Description: partial 16S ribosomal RNA
Rfam family: Bacterial small subunit ribosomal RNA
Source: RNAcentral